This 253-nucleotide ribosomal RNA is filed under the name uncultured bacterium. Its description in RNAcentral is "partial 16S ribosomal RNA". It matches the Rfam family "Bacterial small subunit ribosomal RNA", at positions 524 to 776 of the family's 1533-position model. The record is from RNAcentral.
UACAGAGGGUGCGAGCGUUAAUCGGAAUUACUGGGCGUAAAGCGUGCGUAGACGGUUAUUUAAGUCGGGUGUGAAAGCCCCGGGCUCAACCUGGGAAUUGCAUUCGAGACUGAAUAGCUAGGGUACGGUAGAGGGAAGCGGAAUUUCCGGUGUAGCGGUGAAAUGCGUAGAUAUCGGAAGGAACAUCAGUGGCGAAGGCGACUUUCUGGCCUGUUCUUGACGCUGAGGCGCGAAAGCUAGGGGAGCAAACGGG